This 1404-nucleotide ribosomal RNA is filed under the name oral metagenome. RNAcentral describes it as "bacterial LSU rRNA". It matches the Rfam family "Archaeal large subunit ribosomal RNA", at positions 1589 to 2987 of the family's 2987-position model. The record is from RNAcentral.
GACAAGUAAUUCAGACUUGAUAAUAAGAACAAUUCGAAGGAGUAUUGUAAUGAUGAGAAUUCGAAUAAUUUUUAGAUGUGUAUUUCUUGAGAAAUAUUCAGGUGAUGCUCGGUGCCCGUGAAAAGGGAAACUGAAAAGAUCUUUAGUAUUCAUACCCAGAACCAGCACAGGUGCCCCUAGGUGAGAAGCCUAAAGUGUGAAGGGACAAUCUAGUUAAGGGAAUUCGGCAAAUUAGCCCCGUACCUUCGGUAUAAGGGGUCCCUGGACUUGUAUACUUAUGUAUGCGUUUUCAGGGCGCAGUGACAAAGGGUGUCCGACUGUUUAACAAAAACAUAACCAACUGCAAGCCUGUAAAGGUGUGAAUAGUUGGUGACGUCUGCCCAGUGCCUGUACUUCAAACUUCGUUUCAACGGAGCAAAGAGCGGGUAAACGGCGGGGGUAACUAUAACUCUCUUAAGGUAGCUAAAUGCCUUGCCGUUUGAUUGACGGCCUGCAUGAAUGGCGUAACGAGAUGCCCACUGUCCCUAACUAGAACCCUCCGAAUUUUCCAUUCUGGUGCAAAGGCCAGAGACUUCCAGUGGGAAGCGAAGACCCCGUGAAACUUUACUGUAGCCUGUCGUUGCAAGGCAGAAUUAGUUGUAUAGCGUAAGUAGGAGAUGUUUAAAGAUAUGGACGCCAGUUCAUAUUUAGUCAACAAUGUAACACUACUCUUCGAAUUUUACCUUGCUAACCACAAAAGUGGGACACCGAUUGGUGGACAGUUUGGCUGGGGUGGCACGCUGUUGAAAAGAUAUCAACAGCGCCCAAAGGUUGGCUCAGACGGGUCAGAAAUCCGCUGUAGAGUGCAAGAGCAAAAGCCAGCCUAACUAGGACAUAAACGGGAAGUGUCUUAGUAGAGAAAUCUAGGUCUAGCGAACUCCUACUUCUCCUUGACUGGGGGGUAGGCAUGACCGAAAAGUUACUCCGGGGAUAACAGAGUUGUCGCGCCCGAGAGCUCUUAUCGACGGCGCGGCUUGCUACAUCGAUGUCGGCUCUUCCUAUCCUGGCUGUGCAGAAGCGGCCAAGGGUGGGGGUGUUCACCCAUUAAAAGGGAUCGUGAGCUGGGUUCAGAACGCUGUGAGGCAGUUUGUUUGAUAUCUACUGGAAGUGUUGGAGAUCUGAAGGGAAGGAUCUCUUAGUACGAGAGGAACGGAGAAUCGACGCCACUGGUCUACCAGUUAUCCGAAAGGGUAUGCUGGGCAGCUACGCGUUAAGGGAUAAGUGCUGAAAGCAUCUAAGCACGAAACCUGCCUUGAAAAGAGAUCUCUUAGACGCCUAUAGAAGAUAGGUUUGAUAGAAACGGCGUGUACGUACCAAGGUAACGAGGUAUUUAGCGCGCGUUUACUAAACGUCGUAUCCACUUUU